CAUAUUUAGUAGACAUAUCAGGGAAAUCAUCAUUAUACACAAACAACGUAGGAGACAGAAGCUAGUACAGUCAGCAUUAUAAGUAGCGGAUCAAAUAACGUUUCAUAAGUAUCUACAUUAUAUAACAGCGUAGCAGAAAGUGAUGUAUUUAAUAUAGAACAACUAAGACUGUAAAAGAUAUACUUUUGAGUGCGAAUUUUAGAAAUUUAUCUAUAUUUGAAUAAGUUAUCUGGAAUAUCAGAUACUUUUGACGCGUUGUUUCAUCCGCUACUUUUGAUGCUGACUGUACAAACAUAUUAAAACCAAUCAAUAGUCAAUAUUAAUAACUACGUACCUAGUUUUAAUUUGAUGCGCACAUUGAAAUAUCUAAAAGCUCGCCUUAUCUUAGAUUUGGAAAACAUUGCUUUAAUAUAUCGCCUUCCAAACAUUCCUAGAGCCAUGUUUUUAUUCCAUUACCGUUCAUUUACAGAAGUUUCCAUUAUGCUGUCAGCCUCAAGCAGAAAUGGAAACGCACUCGCUGAUAUUGAAUUAAUAUAGAGUGUAAUAGCAGUCCGCUCAGUGUUAUUUCAGCUUUGACCGAGAACACUCGUUUCGGUCUUCGCUCAUGCUUGGGGUAUAUCUGUAAAAUUUGCUAUUAGUACAACAGAAAAUAAUUGAAUUGAACUAAGUGGAAUUAUAGGCGUAACUUAUUUCAAGUCGAAUAAACAAUUUUAACGAACUUUGGAAAGUUAUAACUAGACUAUCUGUGAUUAAAAUACUUUAUUAAAUAUCUUGGUGUUUAAUCUGGAAGAUUAGUCGAUGGAGCAAAUAUGGUAACGAGGGACUGAAAACCAGCAACAUGGGCAGAAAUAAAGACAACGACGAAUCCAAUGGAGAGCUCAGUAUCCUCCUAGUAGUGACUGUGAUACUUGGCUUGAUUCUCAUGUUGUCGCUUGUCAUGUGCUACGCUUGCGUGCUUCGGCGGCUCUGCUGCGGGACCAGCAGGGAACGGAAGCAGAACGCAGCAAGGAAUGAGAGUUACCCUAUGGGGGAAAUAACUUUGUUAUCGCAGUCGACGAAAAGUGAACGAGUAUAAUGUUAAAACUAAGACAAGUGAAUUUGCUUCGGUAGUGGCAGAAAAGGGAAGCAACUGGCAGAAAUUUGAACAACAAAAAAGGUUUUUCGUUUUUUUUUAUGUUUUAUAUAUACUUGCAGUAUAAUAUAAGCUAAACUAUGGUACUAGCGAACGUGGACCAAACUUUAAGCCCACACUUUUUGCAAAUAGGCAAGCUUAAGAAACGGGCCUUGUUUAUUGCAGGUACCUUUUAUCCCAUGGAAGAUGUAACUGAAAUGUUUUGUUCUAUUGUAUGAGAGUUUUAAUGAAGUGGCAGGAAAAUAUACCUUCUAAUAGAAAUGCUGUUACGGGAUAUACCUUUAUGAUUAUAUCCAAAGUGAACGGCUUUAGAACUUGCUUAAAUCGAAUUAAUUUAAUAUGGAUAUUGUUUCAAUAUAAAGAAAGUGGCAAAACGGAAAUAUACGAAUGGCCCGAUUCGAAGAAUGAAAUACGAUAACGAUAAGAUCUGGUUUAGAUAAGUUUGUAUGUCGUAUAAUUGACGAUUGAUGAGAAACAGCUCGAUUCGGGCAACCAAUGUCACUUUGACAUUAGAAAUAUCGUAGACAGAUCUUAUUUUUGAUAUGUCGUUUAGCUAUCGAUCUUUCCAAGAUCUUAAACGUGUCUUAAUCAUUUUUCGAAUCGAGCCGUAAGCUUACUUAUUUCUCUAUGCAUUUGCUAGUCCUUAUUUCAUUGCAAUAAGAUAUACAAUACAUAUAGUGCCACUUCACCGCACUAACUUAAUGGGAUAAUUAGUACAUAUGUCGUAACUAUGUCGAAAAUUUAAAGCGUCAUAUGUACUGUAAUAGUACAUUACGAUACAAGUGCGAAAAAUAGGAAUUCGAAAUGAGUGGCGAUAAAUUAAAACACGACCGAAGGGAGUGUUUUAAAUUGACACCAGUUGCGAAUUACCUAUUCGCACAUGUAUCGUACAACGUUUUACAGUACAUAUGGCCCUUUAAAUGUUCGACACAGUAACGUAAUAUGCUAAUUUUCGCACUAGUGUGGUAAAGCAGCACCAUAUGUACUGUAAAACGUUGUACGAUACAUGUGCGAAUAGAUAAUUCGCAACUUGUGUCGAUUUAAAACACUCCCUUCAGUCGUGUUUUAAUUUAUCGCCACUCGUUACGAAUCGCCUAUUUUUCGCACUUGUACUAUUAUCUGCGAAUGGUCAAUUAAAUACGACCACGCUAAUAAGACUGUUGUACCUAUUACAUAAACCUAUAAAUAGAAUGAUGUGGAAAAUAAAAUAAACUUAAUAGAA
Molecule: long non-coding RNA, 2354 nt
Organism: Cydia pomonella (codling moth)
Lineage: Eukaryota; Metazoa; Arthropoda; Insecta; Lepidoptera; Tortricidae
Exons: 3
Source: RefSeq, a predicted model, not a curated record